GAAAUAUUAUAUAAGCCUUGGUAAUUGAUAAUUUUUUGAGAUGGAUGAAGAAACUUUAGUUAGGCUAUCACCACUGAGGCCUGGGGGAGGCAGCGGUGGUGGUGGUGGUGGCGGCGGCUUGAAGUCAUCAUCGUCGGGGAAAUUAAGUCCGAGGGGUUCCCCUUCUUCCAGGAGAUUAAACUCGGGCCAAACUCCUAGAAGAGAAGCACGUAGCGGUGUGUUUAGCUCUCACUGUCUUAGAAGUAACCGCAUUGUCCUUUGGUUUGGGCUUACACCGGAUUCUAUUUCCAGUCGAAAUGGGCACACGGUGACAACAAGGAAGAUCUCUUCAGCGGUGGCUAUAGCGGCGAAUCGGGCGGUGAUAAAUCCGAACCGCAGAUCAAGAAUCGGAGGAGGGACUUAAUUGCUAAAGUCGAUUCUGUGGCAGUUGAGUAAAAGUAUUGUGGAUGUGGUUCUUGCGAAGAACACUACAUUGGAUAAAAACAAGCCCUCGAUGAGGAGUAGGAGAUCUCUACGUAGGAAGAGACCAGUCAGUAGUAAGCCAAAGACGAUGAUUGCAGACGAAGUGGAAAGUGAAGUUGAUUUGCAAACAGAGGAAAUAAUACCGAAGAAAAAUACGACUUACGUAUUUCUUGUGGGCCCGUUUGGAUCUGUAGAGGACUCAAUUUUGGAGUGGAGUGUCGGGUACUUGUGAUAUAGGAAGGGAGCUUUUGCUCGUUUAGUUUGGUCAAGAAAGUUUGUUUUGAUCUUCCAUGAGCUGUCUAUGACUGGAGCUCCACUCGCCAUGACUGGAUCUUCCAUGAGCUGUCUAUGAAGGGGCGAGUGUUUUUGGUGAUACAGGUGCUCGGAACUGAUUCUGGAGGAACAAGAGAGAUUGUUGAACACAAUUACACAAUAUAACCGAUCUUCAUCCUUUAGGUAGGCCGGGGGGUCCGAAUUCUUGCGAACAAUCUUCAAUUCUUGCUCGAGAAUUCAAAAGCAAGGCAAUAAAUAGGAUUAAAAGGUAGAGAAAAAGUUGAGAGAAUGUACUUGAAGAAGCACAUGUUUCAGAAGUUUGGUGAGGUACUUACUGUACAAGUGCAUGAGAAUAAAGUAGGCAUUUUGCAGGAGAUUGAUUCAUCGACAUUCUAUAUAAAUAGUGAAAUCUCUGUUAUUUGUGCACGAGAGUGUAAUCAUCUGAUGGAGCUUGAUACAUCCAUUAUGGGAGUUCAGCAAGAAAGGAGGAAAAUAAAGUUUCCCUUCCCUCAAUUCUGGGGUUGGCAUGGGUGCAUGCUCAAUUGGCCACGUCAAGAGUGCAUCAUCGGUGCUGCCAAGCGUACGUCGGGAGGUUUUUAAAAUUUUAAGGUGUUAUUGUAUGGAUUUUGAUGCCCUUGUACAUUUGUUUUCGCCGUAUGUGGAAAUUUUCAUUUCCGCCUUGUGAAGCUGUUUUACCUCGUUAUUUUUCUCAAUUCAUGAAUUCUUGACA
Non-coding RNA from Erythranthe guttata (spotted monkey flower), 1465 nucleotides. The record is from RefSeq and is a predicted model, not a curated record. NCBI's taxonomy places the organism in Eukaryota, Viridiplantae, Streptophyta, Magnoliopsida, Lamiales, Phrymaceae.